RNAcentral lists this ribosomal RNA (402 nucleotides) under uncultured prokaryote. RNAcentral describes it as "bacterial SSU rRNA". It matches the Rfam family "Bacterial small subunit ribosomal RNA", at positions 355 to 774 of the family's 1533-position model. The record is from RNAcentral.
UGGGGAAUCUUGCACAAUGGGGGAAACCCUGAUGCAGCGACGCCGCGUGAGCGAUGAAGCCCUUCGGGGUGUAAAGCUCUUUCGGCAGGAACGAUAAUGACGGUACCUGCAGAAGAAGCUGCGGCUAACUAUGUGCCAGCAGCCGCGGUAAUACGUAGGCAGCAAGCGUUGUUCGGAGUUACUGGGCGUAAAGAGUGUGUAGGCGGUUCGCCAAGUUCGGUGUGAAAUCUCCCGGCUUAACUGGGAGGGUGCGCCGAAUACUGGCGGGCUAGAGUGCGGGAGAGGAGAGCGGAAUUCCUGGUGUAGCGGUGAAAUGCGUAGAUAUCAGGAGGAACACCUGCGGUGUAGACGGCUCUCUGGACCGUUUCUGACGCUGAGACACGAAAGCGUGGGGAGCAAACA